RNAcentral lists this ribosomal RNA (339 nucleotides) under Triticum aestivum (bread wheat). RNAcentral's name for it is "partial small subunit ribosomal RNA". Lineage: Eukaryota; Viridiplantae; Streptophyta; Magnoliopsida; Poales; Poaceae. The record is from RNAcentral.
AUGGAUGAAAUGCCUCAAGCGGAGUUUUUGAUUCGAAGAAAGCUAAACCCCUACGUCAAGCCUAGAGAACUCAGCAGGGGAAAUGACUUGUUUUGGACCAAGCAACAACAUCUCAUCUUCAUAGAUGUGAUCAAGGCCAAGCAGAACAUCUAUGUGCUAGUUCAAUGGAUUGACAUGGACCAUCUGAAGAAGAACCGGGCAUAUUUGGUGAGACUCCGGAUUUGGUGGAGCAGUUUGGUAUUGAGAAAAUCAUCACUUUCCAUCUUGACUUUGACCCGGAGCUGGUGGCUCAGUUCUUUGCUUCUGUUCACUUCCACACGGAUGAGAAGCGGACCAUGA